Molecule: long non-coding RNA, 2374 nt
Organism: Heterocephalus glaber (naked mole-rat)
Lineage: Eukaryota; Metazoa; Chordata; Mammalia; Rodentia; Bathyergidae
Source: Ensembl
GAAAGACACUGUUAAGGUUCCUUCUUGCUUUUGCUACCUUGUGCGCACCACGUUGUUUCUCCUCGGCGAGCCCUGUUUGUCAUCCCAGCCUUGGAUCCAGCCAAUUAUGGACUGAAACCUCUAUGAACUAUAAAAAUGGUUGACUGCAGGUAACUGAAGAUGACUCAACAUGAUACAUUUUUAUGAACAAAUCAUUAGAAGGGUCUUGCUCCGCAGUUCCGAUAAGCCAUGAAUUUGUGAUCCUCCUGCCUCAGCUUCCAAGUGCUAUAAGUAUAGUUUGCAUCAUCACACUCAGCUUUUUGUUGAGCUCUUUGGAUGGAAAUUCUUACAUGUUGGACAACUUUUGCAGCUUUUGAUCACCUGGAAAUAUGUUCAAUUUACUGCCAUUAUCCUUUUCCAAAUCAUGAACACAGGCAAGAGCACAGGACUGGAGAACAGAGUGACAAGCAGAUCACAGCAGAUUUCUCUGUGUGUUAGUGUGGAUAAACACUUAUGUAUAUGUACUAACUCACAUUUCACCAAAUUGGCUUGACUUUAUCAACAUUUUCUUUCAAAUUUAUUACUUGCAAACAUUUUGGUAAAAUGUUCAUGCAUUAUUUCUCCUGAGAUGUGAUGACUGGACCAGUACUUCUUACAUGUACCCCUCCGUGAUUCAACUACUACCUGUGGAAAACAACAAGCAAGCAAACCAGCAAACAAACCAGUGAAGCAACCAAAUAACUGGCUACAAUUGCUUAGUGAAAAGAGAACCAAAAGUCUAUGUCAUUAGCUACUUAUUAAUCUUUGGGCAAGUUACUUUAUUCUUAAAUCUCACAUUUCUUGUAAAAUCAAGAUAAGAAAAAUUCCAUAGCUAAAAGCAUUGGUGCUAUGGACUGUAAAUGUCUUUGAAUAUUUUGACCAAACACUUUAAAAGAGAUGGUGAAUAUCUUUCAAAAUCAACUUUCUACCAGGAUUUUCAAACUUCAAAAUGCACCAGCAUUAUCCAGAGACUUACUAAAACACAGAUGGCUGGUAACCCAGAAUUUCUGAUUAAAUAGGUCUGCCAAGAAUCAUCCUGUCUUACAAUUUCUUAACUCUUUUUGAUGUUGCUGGCAGGUGCACUGUACUUGGGGAACCACUGGGGAGAUGUGGAGAACAGUUAUAUGUAGACUACGAAGGACAGUGAAAGAAAUGGAUACCUUGACUAAGAUACUGACUGGUGACUGAUCAGAUAAGGAACAAGAAAGCGUGGCUGUGUGUGGCUCAGUGGCAGAAGCAUGCCUAGCUCAAGGCAUGUGUCUUGAUCCCAACAGCAGGGGCAAGAGGAGGAAGAGGUUUUUGGUUCUAAGUUCAGAUUUGAAAGACAUGAUGCUCAGAGUGUGCAGGACCACCAGAGGACACAGAUGACUUUCACAAGGAUUUCCACUGAAAUUUCCAGAAAGUCCAGGUGGAGUCUGGAGCAAAUAUCAGUCCUAAUAGAGACUAGUCUAAAGUUUCAACUUGUAUAACCACAGAUGAUUGUAUUGUAUUGAGAUGCUCAUCCAGUUGUAACACUUGACGUUUUCAUCAAUGUUGGGAAACAUUUUGAUGAAAAUAAUAUUAUAUAGAAGUCCAAGGUGAUGAUUACAUCAACAAUUAAUUCCUGCUCUGUCCCACAUCCACUGAACCCUUGGAUUAAAUGAUAAUAUCUGCAUAAGCCACAGCUUAAGUGAUGCUGGCAAAGCAACUGCCUUUGUUUGUGGUCAUGACUAGUGGCAUUUUGAAACUGCCAGGAAGGAGGCAGUAGCUGAGCACAGGACAAUGUUCGCCAGGGCAGAGUGAUUAUGGCAAUGCUGCUGUCAAUUAAAGGACACCAGUUGUAAUUUCAAAUCCUCUGUGAAAUGUGGCUAGUGGGGGUGGAAACUGAGAAAUAGAAGAAAAAGGAAAGACCUUAAGUUUUGGUUUGUGGCCAUCUUUGGUGAUGUCUACUCCUGGCAUUCGUAGCUGUUGAGGGAUUAGAAACACAUUACUCUAAUGCAAAAGGUCUUUUGGUAGCAGUGGGCUAGGCAUACAGCACCCUCUAGACUCUCAGGAGACAUAAAAUUCUUUUCAAAAAACUUACAUUAAAAUUUAGCCAUCAUAACUUGAAAAACUCACAUAAGAUACUCGAGGCAAAUUUAGGGACAUUUAUUGGCCUACAAUAACUAUCUCACUGAGUAGUCACUUGGAAAACAAUUUGCAGUAAGGGAAAACUGUCAGUUAAUUAUUGAAACAAACAAAAACAUAGAUGUACCAUAAAAGGUAGUCAGUGUCAUUUUGGUUGGAUCAUUUUUGAUUCUUAUUUCUGCCCCUUAGUUUGAACACAUGUGUGUGUGUGUGUGUGUGUGUGUGUGAGAGAGAGAGAGAUCUAUAUGAA